UAAGUUUUUAGGAUUCUAAAACAACGCUAUUUCCUUUCUGUUUCUCCAUUCAAUAUUCAUAAAUAAAAUCUAAAGAGCCACAUUAAUUUUCCAAAAAAAAAAAAACUAACACUUCAUUCAAUUUCUUCUUCUCAAGCGACACUAUUCUCCUUCAGUUCCUACAUCCUAAAUUGAUUCCAAAUUCUUCACUGCUUUCCUAAAAACAUAAAAUACGUCACUGCUGCCCGAUCAAUCCUCUUUCUCUCUCCUAACGACCUGUCUGAUUUUACAAGGGCUAUGAUACAUGGAUUUUGCCCGGCAAAGUUUCUGUUUUCAUUAAUUGAAAACUGUUGAUAAGUCUUUCUUGGCCAAUCUGGAAGAUUUACGGGACAAGGAAGUCGCUGUCGUGGUGAGUAUAUGACUUUUAGUUUUAAUCUUAUACUCCAAAUUUUGACUUUUAAGUUCGAUGAAGAGAAUGUAACUAAUUGGUCGUGUAGAUUACAAGUAAUUGAAUUAUGAUGUAAAGGUUAUGAUGAGAAUAAUCACAAGGAGAAAUUAUGUUGAAAGUUAGCAUGUUUUAUAUAGUUUUACGAUCAUUAAUAAUUGCUAGUGAAUUUUAGUUGCAGAAAGUUAGAGAUGAAUUGCAAAAGGUUUGGAGAAUCCUGAUCAUGGAAUAGUUUGGGAGGUGAUCGAGAAUAUUGUCAUUCUUAGUUCCUAUAGCUUGUACAUGUAAACCUAUUGAAUUUUACAUAGGAAAAAUUGCUUUAAAUAAUAUCACCUUUCACCCGUCCGCUAAAAACAAGUCAACCUUUUGAUUAUCUCUAAAUAAUACCACCUUUGGGGGGUGUCCGUUUUAAACAAGUCAUUUUACCUAUAACCUGAAUAACCGGUUAAUUUUUUUUUUCUUUUUAAUAAAUUCGUUUAACAAUGUAAUUAACUAUUAACAACAACUUUAAUUAUGGUUAAUUAACAAUUAAAAUAUUUUUUAAAAUUUUCUUUAAAAAAAAAACUCCUCCACCAUCCACCAGCCACCACCGGCGCUCCUUUCUCUCCCAGCCCCUGGCGCCGGCCACUUCAUCCGGAUUACUUUUCCCCCGGCGACGAAGUAAGGCAGCGAGUAGUUUCCGGCGAGCGAUCGAGGAAUCGCUGGAAAAUCGUGCAACUGUUGCACGGUUUUCAAACUUUGAGUUCCGGUAGGUGGUCGUGCAAUUGUUGCAACGAUAAAGGCAGACGGUGGUCGUGGUGGGUUUUCGGCCUGGCCGCGACCACCACCUUCAGAUUAAGGGCUUUUUCGGGGAAGGGUAGCAGCAACAACAUUAGUGGUUGAAGUUGCCGAAGACGUCGUGCGCUGACCGAGAACGUUCUGGAUGGCGGCGUCGUGGGCUCGUGCUUCGACCGGAAAUGUUCUGGCUAGCGUUGUGGGCUGCUACUCCGGUGGCUGACCACCGGUUUCCCUUCACCCUUCCUCGGCGCAGGCCUGAACCACCGAACUCCCCUUCCCCAUAACCCUCAUUCCCCGCAAAACCACCAAAAACCCAUCCUUGGAGUUAUUUUUUUUUUUUUUACAAUAAUAAUAAUAAUAA
Chenopodium quinoa (quinoa) is the source of this 1562-nucleotide long non-coding RNA. RefSeq lists it as uncharacterized. The record is from RefSeq and is a predicted model, not a curated record. The transcript has 3 exons. Lineage: Eukaryota; Viridiplantae; Streptophyta; Magnoliopsida; Caryophyllales; Amaranthaceae.